CAAUAGCGUAUAUUUAAGUUGUUGCAGUUAAAAAGCUCGUAGUUGGAUUUCGGAUGGGACCUGCCGGUCCGUCUUUGAGAUGUGCACUGGCAAGUCCUCUCUUGUUGUCGGGGACUAGCUCCUGGGCUUCACUGUCCCGGGACUAGGAGCCGACGAAGUUACUUUGAGUAAAUUAGAGUGUUCAAAGCAAGCCUACGCUCUGAAUAUAUUAGCAUGGAAUAACACGAUAGGACUCUGGCUUAUCUUGUUGGUCUGUGAGACCAGAGUAAUGAUUAAGAGGGACAGUCGGGGACAUUCGUAUUUCAUUGUCAGAGGUGAAAUUCUUGGAUUUAUGAAAGACGAACUUCUGCGAAAGCGUUUGUCAAGGAUGUUUUCAUUAA
RNAcentral lists this ribosomal RNA (380 nucleotides) under uncultured eukaryote. RNAcentral's name for it is "partial 18S ribosomal RNA". It matches the Rfam family "Eukaryotic small subunit ribosomal RNA", at positions 592 to 976 of the family's 1831-position model. The record is from RNAcentral.